Molecule: long non-coding RNA, 674 nt
Organism: Pseudophryne corroboree (corroboree frog)
Lineage: Eukaryota; Metazoa; Chordata; Amphibia; Anura; Myobatrachidae
Exons: 3
Source: RefSeq, a predicted model, not a curated record
UGAUGCAGGAGGGACACAGGAGAGGCGCGCGCUGUGCCCUCCGUGUCCCUCCAACACGGCAGGGAGGCAGGCCCGGCGCUACCCGCUCAGCGAAGGGAUGCAGUGCAGGGAGGCGCUGGGACGGAGAGGCGCUCCCCCUGCUCUGCAUUCCUUCCCUGCUGCGCCGUCCUGGCCCCCCUGCUGCUGCUGCUGCUGUGUCUGUCACUGUAUGACUGUGACAGUCACUGGCAGCGGAGCCUGCAGCGUGAAAAGCCUCCUCCCUCCCCUCCCCUGUGUGGCAGCGGCUGUGUACGGGACGGAAGGGGGCGGAGCUAAACGGGACGAAAGGGGGCGGAGCUAAACGGUCCAGAAGGGGCGGGGCUACACGGACCAGGCUGCUGUACCGAGGGAGACUGGCUUAGAUCCCUUAAUGACGUGUUCGUUCGGAGUUCGGUAGUCCUGCUGAGAGGAUGAUGGGAGCACGGGGUAUUCUGCGUGGAGACAGAGGUGUGUGUGGCCCUCACUAUAUCCCUGCAUGGGGUGUGGGAAUCCCCUCCAGAGCGAGGAAGAAAACAUGAGAUCUUACCGCCGAGCCUCAUACCUCCAACAAGCUGAUAGAGACACUGGUCAGAUACCUGGUGAUUCUCCAGACAGGCCCAGAAAAUAGGAAACAUUUGUAGAUGAUUAAACAGAAA